GAUCCUGGCUCAGAUUGAACGCUGGCGGCAUGCCUUACACAUGCAAGUCGAACGGCAGCGGACCUUCGGGUGCCGGCGAGUGGCGAACGGGUGAGUAAUGCAUCGGAACGUGCCAUUGAGUGGGGGAUAACGUAGCGAAAGUUGCGCUAAUACCGCAUAUUCUGUGAGCAGGAAAGCAGGGGACCGCAAGGCCUUGCGCUCUUUGAGCGGCCGAUGUCAGAUUAGCUAGUUGGUGAGGUAACGGCUUACCAAGGCGACGAUCUGUAGCGGAUCUGAGAGGAUGAUCCGCCACACUGGAACUGAGACACGGUCCAGACUCCUACGGGAGGCAGCAGUGGGGAAUAUUGGACAAUGGGCGCAAGCCUGAUCCAGCAAUACCGCGUGUGUGAAGAAGGCCUUAGGGUUGUAAAGCACUUUCAAUUGGGAGGAAAACCUGCCGGUCAAUACCCGGUAGCUUGACAUUACCUUUAGAAGAAGCACCGGCUAACUACGUG
RNAcentral lists this ribosomal RNA (494 nucleotides) under uncultured bacterium. RNAcentral describes it as "bacterial SSU rRNA". It matches the Rfam family "Bacterial small subunit ribosomal RNA", at positions 15 to 507 of the family's 1533-position model. The record is from RNAcentral.